This 71-nucleotide transfer RNA is filed under the name Marmota monax (woodchuck). RNAcentral's name for it is "tRNA.Ala". It matches the Rfam family "tRNA". From Rfam's summary of the family: Transfer RNA (tRNA) molecules are approximately 80 nucleotides in length. Their secondary structure includes four short double-helical elements and three loops (D, anti-codon, and T loops). Lineage: Eukaryota; Metazoa; Chordata; Mammalia; Rodentia; Sciuridae. The record is from RNAcentral.
GAGGUUGUGGCUCAGUGGUAGAGUGUUUGCCUAGCAUGCAUAAGGCACUGGGUUCAAUCCUCAGCACCACA